CAUGCAAGUCGAACGAAGUAGCAAUACUUAGUGGCAGACGGGUGAGUAACAUGUAGGUAUCUACCCUUUGGCCUGGAAUAACACGAGGAAACUUGUGCUAAUACCGGAUAAGUCUUUACGGAGAAAGCUUUAUGCACCAUUGGAUGAGCCUGCAUUUGAUUAGUUUGUUGGUGGGGUAAUGGCCUACCAAGACUUUGAUCAAUAGCUGAUUUGAGAGGAUGAUCAGCCACAUUGGGACUGAGACACGGCCCAAACUCCUACGGGAGGCAGCAGUGGGGAAUCUUGCACAAUGGAGGAAACUCUGAUACAGCGAUGCCGCGUGAGUGAAGAAGGCCUUUGGGUUGUAAAGCUCUUUCGUCGGGGAAGAAAAUGACUGUACCCGAAUAAGAAGGUCCGGCUAACUUCGUGCCAGCAGCCGCGGUAAUACGAAGGGACCUAGCGUAGUUCGGAAUUACUGGGCUUAAAGAGUUCGUAGGUGGUUGAAAAAGUUGGUGGUGAAAUCCCAGAGCUUAACUCUGGAACUGCCAUCAAAACUUUUCAGCUAGAGUUUGAUAGAGGAAAGCAGAAUUUCUAGUGUAGAGGUGAAAUUCGUAGAUAUUAGAAAGAAUACCAAUUGCGAAGGCAGCUUUCUGGAUCAUUACUGACACUGAGGAACGAAAGCAUGGGUAGCGAAGAGGAUUAGAUACCCUCGUAGUCCAUGCCGUAAACGAUGUGUGUUAGACGUUGGAAAUUUAUUUUCAGUGUCGCAGCGAAAGCGAUAAACACACCGCCUGGGGGGUACGACCGCAAGGUUAAAACUCAAAUGAAUUGACGGGGACCCGCACAAGUAGUGGAGCAUGUGGUUUAAUUCGAAGAUACGCGCAGAACCUUACCAACACUUGACAUGUUCGUCGCGACUUUAAGAGAUUAA
RNAcentral lists this ribosomal RNA (910 nucleotides) under uncultured marine bacterium. RNAcentral's name for it is "bacterial SSU rRNA". It matches the Rfam family "Bacterial small subunit ribosomal RNA", at positions 54 to 1010 of the family's 1533-position model. The record is from RNAcentral.